Long non-coding RNA from Tupaia belangeri chinensis (Chinese tree shrew), 3189 nucleotides. RefSeq lists it as uncharacterized. Lineage: Eukaryota; Metazoa; Chordata; Mammalia; Scandentia; Tupaiidae. The transcript has 4 exons. The record is from RefSeq and is a predicted model, not a curated record.
CGAAUGUAUAACCCUGUUGCCUGCCUUGAUUAAAUAACCGCGCAGCCUGGAAAUUGCACUGAGCUUUUCGAAAGCCUGAAGCCCUGGGAGCUUUCCUACGCUUUGUUUGUCUCCAGCUAAAUGCAGGUGCAGCAGAACCACCGAAGCAUGGUUGGCCCUGGGAAACAUUCACACAACAGCUGCUCUGGUGUUAAACCUCUCGUGCCCUCUUUCCCCCUGACUUCUCUCCCCUGGGAGAACCAAACUGCUUGUGUGUUUUCACCAAGACCUACCCUCAGAGGCCUGGGCCCUGGCUCUGAACCAUGCUCUUCUCUUCUGACCAUGACUCACUGUUCUGCCUCUCACGUAACUCUGAAAUAAUGAAGUUUUCGCCACGUACAUGAUUUUACACCUAGAGACAAUGUCUUAGCACCUACAGGGUAAUCUGAAAAUGGCCCCCUCGUCUUCUCUCAUCGUAAGUAGCAGGGUGGCUUUAGAGCUGUUCACAUUUGUGGAGUUCUUGUUUGCCAUAGUUUGAAGGGUGCUAUGCUACAGUCAGCUUCCACACAUCCAAGGUGCUGCUGUUGCCUAAAGACCCUUCCAAGAUAGAGAAGCUCUGAUUAGCACAGGGAAGGACUUUCGGUUGCAGACCUGCUCCUUGGCACAGGGGGUCAUUUUUUCGGCAAACACUUAGUAAACACUUAGUGUUAUUCACUUAGUAUUCCUGUGUUCUGAUCAGUGGCUAGGCUCCCCUUCAGGGCAUCACAUCCUCAGCAAGCAGAUCAAACGGGUGAGCACACCAUCGGUAGCUUACACACAGGGAGCACGUGCAGCAUGCUUGGGACCCCAGAAGAGGGACUUAAGCCCCUCAGAAGCCUCCUCCCGAGAGAUGUCAUGGCCCCGCAGUGCCAUGGAAGCAGCCUUCCCUUCAGGGAAGCAGGAGGCAAGCACCGGGCAAUGGAUUCGCUGUCCUCUUUGAGAUACACAAGGUCACAUUUGGAUCUUGCACUGAUGUGAGUGUGCAGCCCUGGGAACCUGUAGAGCACUCGGGGAACACUGGCAGGGCAGGUACUGAAUCCAUCCCGGCCUGUCACAGGGAAUAACGUUGCCCUCUUUUGUUUCCCUGCCACUCUGAGCGGUGCAGGGUUGCCUCGGAAUUAUUUCAGCGAUGCGCUGCUUUGUUCCUUUGAGUACCCCAUACUUUAGGUGCCAAUUCACCUUUUCCUUUCAUAAAGAAGAGUCAGGAAAAAGAACAAGAGGCAUGGCUAGACAAUGGAAAAGCCAGCGCAUUGAAAAGGUCAUGGUACCCCAAUGUACUAUUUUCAUCUCGAAGUGUUUCAGGCAUUGUGAGUCCUUUUUGACAUUCCACUCUACCGACAAACACUGAAAGGGGGGCGGGGGAGAAGGACACGCAUUAUUUCAUCUGCUUGUGGAAUGUGAUGGCAAGAGUGGGGAAUGGGGCCCAGUGGAUCCGUUCUUUUUGUCUGGAGGUUUCACUUGGAGGUUUGUUUUGGAGUUAUCUUUCUGUGAGAAGCAUGGUGUUCUCGUGGCGGUACAGAAGAAACGAGGCGUCCCUCUAGGCGAGCUAACAUUUUUACCUUCUUUUGGCUUUCUUCUUUCUUUUACGAGUUCUCAUCUAGCAUUUGUCUGUGAGUGACUGACUUUCAGGAGACUUGCAGUUAGUAGCUAACAUUCUCCCAACGUUGUCACUGCGCGGAAUACUGCUGGCAGACGCCUGCUUACCUUGCCUCCUCUGUCUUGCCCUCACUCCUGUGGAAUCUGCAAAGUCAGCUGCUCCAUGGACGUGUAGGCGAUAGCCAUGACUGCCAGCUCUUACCGUAAAAGGUAGCCAAACGUUUGCUGAGAGAGCUCUGAAAAGAGGGAAACAGAAAAGUCAGUGGAUCCUUCCUUUUUUCCCGUGGGGAUCUUGGGAAUGAUAUCUAGAGACCCAGCAGUCGUGUUGUGACCAUGAAGCAAUGAGCUAACUUCCUAAGGAAGACAGAAUGGGAAGAGAAAAGGAUCCAGGGUCAUUGACGAUGUCAUGGAGUUCUACACCUGCCUACCCACCUGUGAGAAAUGGAAGAACUCCAGUCUGUGUAAGACGACUUAGGAAAGGGAUCCUUCAGGAGGAUUCUGUCAAAGCCAGCCAGAGCAGUCCCAUUCCAUGUGCUGGCGAUGAGCCUACGAUCGGGUAGAUGCACGACCUAGUCCUGGCCAAUAAGACUCGAGCGGAAGUCUUCUAGAGAAAACGAUCUCUUCUCUGGACCGUCAGAUCUGGCUGUCACUGGAGAUAGCUCUGGAGGGUGAGUGAAAAAAGGGAAGGAACCUCCAUCCUGGAUGACGUUCUUGAGUCACUCACUGGAUUAACCCUAAAGCAUCCCUAAUCUGGGGCUUCUUCUGCCAAACACUACAUUUUAUUACAGUUUAAGAAAAACUGAGUCAGCUGAAGGCAUGCUAUCCGACCAUAAUGUUUCCUGAAGCACAGCACGUGGGCUGCCCUCCAGGACCACCCAGCCUCGGACCACAUGGGGAAGGUUCUUUCAGGUGGACCAGCAGUAUCCCUGUAGGCUGCUUUUUCCAGGUGGUCUGAACUCUUACAGCACUGCUCUCCGUAAUACCCACGGCCUUACCCUCAGCUGGGGAAAUCCAGCAAAGACCAUUGAACGCUUGCACCUAAUUCAUGUAAAGCAGAAUUUCUUAAGAAAGAACAGUGAGAGCUGUUAACCCACAGAGCAUGGCGUGUCGUGCACCAGACAAAUGAUCUCUGCAAGAAUUACCAGAGCUUUGAUGUUUUCCUUUUUGGAAAGCAAAAUUGAAUACAAUAAUAGGAGUGUGGUCCCGAGGACUAGCUGCCAGGAUUAAAAGCCAACCUCUCUCAUUGACCAGAUGUACGACAUCGAACAACUUCGAGUACUUUUCUGUGCCUCAGUUUCCCCACCUGUAAAAUGGGCAUAACACAGUACUUUCAAAGUGAUAAUGGGACCUCCCAGGACUGUCGUGAGGAACCAGUCCCUUUUUAUCAUGUAGUAGGUGCAUUGUAGUUGUUGGCUGUUGUAUUGUUCACAGACUGGAUUGCAAACCUCUUUCUUCCCUAUUUCCUUGAGUAAGGAUUAGCCUUGCAUUCAUUAAACUCUGAAUUAAUGCUCCUUGAAUGUAGGUCUUUCAUGGUUCUAUAUGAAAAAAAUUUUUUGAGAGAGAUUUUUGCUAUAG